RNAcentral lists this long non-coding RNA (608 nucleotides) under Nicotiana benthamiana. RNAcentral's name for it is "long non-coding RNA (NBEN_LNC002855)". The record is from RNAcentral. Lineage: Eukaryota; Viridiplantae; Streptophyta; Magnoliopsida; Solanales; Solanaceae.
AAAUUUUGGGAAUGUAAACAAUUAUAUGUCUACAGUUGCUCAACCCCAAACUCCGUCAUCUUUGUUCAAGAACAAACCCUAAUUUCUGACGAAUCCAUUGUCGAGCACAAACCCAUGUAUUGUGCGCGCCGAUCGAAAAAUGCAGUAUAUUCCCCAAAACAAAUCCCACAAUUCACAUUAUCAAAAUCCAAACACUUAGUUUCUUCUUUCUCCAUUAGUUUUCAAACAGCAACAAAGAAGAAGGGAGAAGAAAGAGAAUAAGAAAAAGAGAGAAGAAGGAAGUGGAAGCAGUGUCUGAAGUUUGCUCAAAUCGGAUAUACAUUAAAAAAUUUAAGAGAAAGCAACGUCCGAUAGAAUUGAAUAAAUUGGGAUCGCAGAGAAUUUAGGUGAUGUGGGUGAGAGAAAUUUUGAGAUAGAGCAUCGUGUUUUCAGGGAAUGGGGAAGACAAUGUCAUGUACCAAAGUAGAGAGAGAAAUAAAAUAGUGUAACUAAAUAGCGUAUUUAGUGGCUUAGGGAUAUGAGUUAACCAAAAUUAGAUAUUUCGCUAUAAACAUUAAAAGGUAUAUAUAGAAUAUGAUUUUCUUAAAUGAUAUUUAUUUAAAAUAAAU